Molecule: ribosomal RNA, 497 nt
Filed under: uncultured bacterium
Lineage: Bacteria
Description: partial 16S ribosomal RNA
Rfam family: Bacterial small subunit ribosomal RNA
Source: RNAcentral
GAUGAACGCUGGCGGCGUGCCUAAUACAUGCAAGUCGAGCGAACGGACGAGGAGCUUGCUUCUCUGAUGUUAGCGGCGGACGGGCGAGUAACACGUGGAUAACCUACCUAUAAGACUGGGAUAACUUCGGGAAACCGGAGCUAAUACCGGAUAAUAUUUUGAACCGCAUGGUUCAAAAGUGAAAGACGGUCUUGCUGUCACUUAUAGAUGGAUCCGCGCCGCAUUAGCUAGUUGGUAAGGUAACGGCUUACCAAGGCAACGAUGCAUAGCCGACCUGAGAGGGUGAUCGGCCACACUGGAACUGAGACACGGUCCAGACUCCUACGGGAGGCAGCAGUAGGGAAUCUUCCGCAAUGGGCGAAAGCCUGACGGAGCAACGCCGCGUGAGUGAUGAAGGUCUUCGGAUCGUAAAACUCUGUUAUUAGGGAAGAACAUAUGUGUAAGUAACUAUGCACGUCUUGACGGUACCUAAUCAGAAAGCCACGGCUAACUACGUG